Molecule: ribosomal RNA, 440 nt
Filed under: uncultured bacterium
Lineage: Bacteria
Description: partial 16S ribosomal RNA
Rfam family: Bacterial small subunit ribosomal RNA
Source: RNAcentral
CCUACGGGAGGCAGCAGUAGGGAAUAUUGCUCAAUGGGGGAAACCCUGAACCAGCAACGCCGCGUGGAGGAUGAAGGUUUUAGGAUUGUAAACUCCUUUUGUGAGAGAAGAUAAUGACGGUAUGUCACGAAUAAGCCACGUCCAACUCCGUGCCAGCAGCCGCGGUAACACGGAGGAUGCAAGCGUUAUCCGGAGUCAGUGGGCGUAAAGCGUGCGCAGGCGGGUUUGUAAGUCAGAGGUGAAAUUCUGUAGUUUAACUACAGAACUGCAUUUGAAACUAUGAGUCUAGAGUGUGGGAGAGGUAGGUGGAAUUCUUGGUGUAGGGGUAAAAUGCGUAGAUAUCAAGAAGAAUACUGAUUGCGAAGGCGGCCUACUGGAACAUAACUGACGCUGAUGCACGAAAGCGUGGGGAGCAAACAGGAUUAGAUACCCCAGUAGUC